CAGUAGCCACGGGAAUACGGAGGGUGCAAGCGUUAAUUGGAAUUACUGGGCGUAAAGCGCACGCAGGCGGUCUGACAAGUCAGAUGUGAAAUCCCCGGGCUUAACCUGGGAACUGCAUUUGAAACUGUCAGGCUGGAGUCUUGUAGAGGGGGGUGGAAUUCCAGGUGUAGCGGUGAAAUGCGUAGAGAUCUGGAGGAAUACCGGUGGCGAAGGCGGCCCCCUGGACAAAGACUGACGCUCAGGUGCGAAAGCGUGGGGAGCAAACAGGAUUAGAUACCCGCGUAGUCCCUGUCUCUUAUAC
RNAcentral lists this ribosomal RNA (301 nucleotides) under uncultured bacterium. RNAcentral describes it as "partial 16S ribosomal RNA". It matches the Rfam family "Bacterial small subunit ribosomal RNA", at positions 509 to 807 of the family's 1533-position model. The record is from RNAcentral.